UGCCGAGGUUCUUAUUGAUUUAGAUUUUUUUCUAUCUCUUCUUUUUUACACCUCUCUUCUUAUUGUCUAAUUAUUCUCUUCUUUUCCUUAUUAGAAUUAGUCCUAAAAUAGUAAGAACAAGUCUAAUUUUAGAACAAGGGCCUAGAAAGAGAUAUAAGGAAGAUAAGAAGACAAAAAAGGUAGAGAUAGGAAGGCUAGGAGGAG
Molecule: long non-coding RNA, 204 nt
Filed under: Elaeis guineensis (African oil palm)
Lineage: Eukaryota; Viridiplantae; Streptophyta; Magnoliopsida; Arecales; Arecaceae
Description: long non-coding RNA (EGUI_LNC048498)
Source: RNAcentral